Molecule: ribosomal RNA, 441 nt
Filed under: uncultured bacterium
Lineage: Bacteria
Description: partial 16S ribosomal RNA
Rfam family: Bacterial small subunit ribosomal RNA
Source: RNAcentral
CCUACGGGUGGCAGCAGUGGGGAAUAUUGGGCCAUGGGCGAAAGCCUGACCCAGCAACGCCGCGUGAAUGAAGAAGGCUUUCGGGUUGUAAACUUCUUUUGACAGGGAAGAGCAGAAGACGGUACCUGUCGAAUAAGCCACGGCUAACUACGUGCCAGCAGCCGCGGUAAUACGGAGGAUGCGAGCGUUAUCCGGAUUUAUUGGGUUUAAAGGGUGCGUAGGCGGAAUGCCAAGUCAGCGGUAAAAUCGCGGGGAUCAACCUCGCUCCGCCGUUGAAAAUGGCGUUCUUGAGUGGGCGAGAAGUAUGCGGAAGGCGUGGUGUAGCGGUGAAAUGCAUAGAUAUCACGCAGAACUCCGAUUGCGAAGGCAGCAUACCGGCGCCCAACUGACGCUGAAGCACGAAAGCGUGGGUAUCGAACAGGAUUAGAUACCCUAGUAGUC